Megalobrama amblycephala (Wuchang bream) is the source of this 679-nucleotide long non-coding RNA. RefSeq lists it as uncharacterized. NCBI's taxonomy places the organism in Eukaryota, Metazoa, Chordata, Actinopteri, Cypriniformes, Xenocyprididae. The transcript has 3 exons. The record is from RefSeq and is a predicted model, not a curated record.
CCAUGAUAUCAUGAUAUUUUUAGUGAUAUUUGUAAAUUGUCUUUCUAAAUGACAUCAUGUCUAAUGUCGUGAAGCUUCUGGAUAUCAGGCUCCAUUGACUGAUAAUGUAUGAACAGAAACCAGCAGGACAAACUUCACCAAAAUCACCAUUUGUGUUUAGAAAUAUAAUAAUAAUAAUAAUUAAUAAUAAUAAUAAUAAUAAUAAUAAAAAUAAAAAUAAUAAUAAUGACAGAAUGUAUGUGUAUCCAAAGCGAUUUACAGUGCACUUAUUACAGGGACGAUCCCCCCGGAGCAACCUGGAGUAAAGUGUCUUGCUCAAGGACACGCUGGUGGUGACGGCUGCGGAGAUCGACCCAGCAACCUUCUGCUUACUAGUUCAGUGGUUUAGCUGUUGACUGCAGUUUCUGGUCGGUAGUUGCUGAAAGCAAACUAAAACAUCAGUAACAAACAAGGACCCGCCCAUGUCACAUUUACAAAAUUUAACAUCAUCUCAGGACUGCCAUGGCAUUUGUAUUAUGGAUUAAAUCAACAUCAGAGACCUGCUUGCUCACUGCCACCACUGCCAGUACUACUGGACCAGACCAACCACUGGCCUACCAUGGUGUCUCAAAAAGGCAGGUGCAAGUGGAUGUAAGUGUAUUGUUAGGGUACAGUGCACCAAAUGUGAUGUGUACCUGUG